UGGAAAGAGUGAUGCAAAACUCUAAUACUGUGGAAGGUUCUGGAAAGGAUUGCUGGGAUGAUUUGGAGAGAUGUAACUAGGCUUAUAGAAUUGCUGCUGUGGGGAUACUCCCGAAAGUAGGUAGUGGAACUCAUGUCCUUCACUUGGAUUUUAUGGAAAGCUAGUCAUACAAAACAAGGUCUGUGUUUUUUGUUUGUUUGUUUUGUUUUCAGUGGAACCAUAAGUUUAUUGAAAAUAACAACAUUGACUAAUGUAACCUGGUCAUGACUUUAUUCAAAAACACAUUUUGAUUAGAAAAACAAACCCACCAAUCCUAUGCAUAGUCAAUUUUAUCAUCAUAAAACACUUCUCAGCUGUAAUUUAGCUACCUACACCUGCUUCGAGGGGGGACAGCUGGUUCACUGAGUGAUGAUAUGGCACACCUGAGAGUUUGGGAGGAUUUUGUUGUUAGAGACAAGGGAAGCAGAAAGGGUAUAUCUAAAGAAGUAGAGAAUGAGAUUUUGUAUGUGUAUUUUAUAUAUUUUUUUAGUAGGCUCUGUUUAAAGUGAGGUGCAGAGAAAGUGGGAAAGUAAAGGCAGCUGAUCUCUGAUGCGGCUCCUGAGAUGUUUUGUUCUGAUGAGGCCUCACUGAGAUCCCAAGAUGGUAGCAUUUUGCUUACGCUUGUGCUCUGUUACCAGGCUGCUGAUGUGAGGGGCUCCUGCUACAGGGAUGAGGUGUAUGUCUGGCUCUGUGAAACAAUAAAGAUGUGGAGUUUUGAUAACUGACCCCAUUAUCAUCUACCUCCUGGAGCUGUGGGCAGUGUCUCGCCCACCUUUCCUGGCUUGUUCAGCUUGGCCUCUUGCAGAGAUGUGUGUGCUCCGUGGUCCUUAACAUAUUGUGCUAGCCUUGCUGCCUGGGGUUGCUGCGAGGUGACUUGGCCCAAGCUGGUGUCUGAACAUGUGGGGAUGGAGCCCCUGAGGAGCACGAUGGUCAGCAGUGCCAUGGGGGUCAGUGGAGGCACACCAUUGCAAGGCACAGGUUAGCAUGCUGCAGGUACCCUGUCCCUGCAGGCAGUCAGGCUGUCUGUAGCAUGUGUGUACAUGGGUGCGUGAUUACAGG
Molecule: long non-coding RNA, 1098 nt
Filed under: Anser brachyrhynchus (Pink-footed goose)
Lineage: Eukaryota; Metazoa; Chordata; Aves; Anseriformes; Anatidae
Description: lncRNA (ENSABRG00000004911.1)
Source: RNAcentral